CACACACAUCGACAGAGGAGGAUGCAUUGCGAUAGGCAGAAAGGGGGAAUUAAAAGGGGACGAUGUGGGCUCCCCGCGAAAAGUUGGUGGGUUUUUUUUGUUGUUUUUCUUUCUUUUCUUCCCACCCCCCUCCCCGCGUCUGAAAUCGGGAAUUCUCUCUCCCUUCCCAAUUGCAAAAGGCACGCCGGGGGUUUUAAUGAUGGAGAAGAGAAACACGCUCGCUGCACGGAGGAGCAGCCCUGCGUGUGCGCGCACCCUUGCACACUCACCCUUGCACACACACACACGCACACAUUUACACCCCUACAGGCUCCCAUUCCACUUUGGGCUAUUUUUGCCGCCCGUCCCUCACCCCUCAUUCCUCACCUAACAUAUCCACCCUCCUACCACCGCCCCGCGGGGCUCCGCUCUUCCCGCUCCGACCUCCCCCCCGCUCCCUUAAAUUUUUUUUUUUUUUUUUUUUGGGGUGGGGUGGGUGAGCGGUCAGAACAACCCCCCCCAACAAGCCUACUCGCAGUGACCCCCCCCCCCCCGAAAAGUGAGUUGCUCCGCGCGGACGGCGACGGGGGGGUGGUGGGAUUGGGGGGGGGGGGAUGAGUAAGGGGGUGGUGGUCCUUCGCCCCCCCCCCCCCCCCCCGCUCCGCUCCGCUCCCCUCCGCGGCCCCGGCGGCGGCGGCGCGGAGCGGAGCGGGAAUCGCUGGCGCCGGCUGCCAUCUAGUGGGCACCGAGCCGCCGGCCCGGGGGAAAUGGGGGGGGGGACGGGGGGGCCGCCGUGCCUCUCUGAGGCCUUGCACACCCCCCCUUUAAAAAAAAAAAUUAAAAAACGUCUUUUUUUUUUUUUUUUCUUUCCCCUCUUUAAUUUUAAUAGCAAACUACACCGGAGAGAAGAAACCCCUUCUUCGCGAUUUCUGUCUCUCCUUUCUCACGAACCUCCUCCCUCUUCAGCCAGAGGUCUGAAAUUCGCUUUGGGGUCGGAAGACUGCGUGUGGCAAAGAAGAAACAAACUGUAAAAAGAAAAAAAAAAACCAAGCAAAAAACAACCCCCAAACCCACCACCACCCCCUCACCAACAGCUCGACACCCUGCUGCUAUCCUCUUAGCUCCCAUAAAAGUUUAUAAUCAGCUCUGAAAUCUGAGGCUGGGAGCCGGCUGGAGAGGAGAAUCCUUCAUCAUUUCUGAGAUCAGAAUAAACGCUUGAUUUUGUCCCGAAA
Long non-coding RNA from Aquila chrysaetos chrysaetos, 1211 nucleotides. RefSeq lists it as uncharacterized. Lineage: Eukaryota; Metazoa; Chordata; Aves; Accipitriformes; Accipitridae. The record is from RefSeq and is a predicted model, not a curated record. The transcript is spliced from 2 exons.